CGUUGGAGUGCGGCGAGAAGAUCAUCACUAAUGGUGCCGUCGCCUCCGAUCCUUUCCAUUGCCCUGCCUUCUGAGACAGGCCGCGUCCUCAGCAUCCAAUCUCACACCGUUCAGGGUUAUGUCGGGAACAAAUCUGCAGUCUUUCCCCUUCAACUUCUUGGCUAUGAUGUGGAUCCAAUCAACUCGGUGCAGUUCUCUAAUCACACAGGGUAUCCAACAUUCAAAGGACAAGUUCUUGAUGGUCAACAGUUGUGGGAUCUGAUUGAAG
RNAcentral lists this unclassified non-coding RNA (268 nucleotides) under Hevea brasiliensis (rubber tree). Lineage: Eukaryota; Viridiplantae; Streptophyta; Magnoliopsida; Malpighiales; Euphorbiaceae. The record is from RNAcentral.